RNAcentral lists this ribosomal RNA (253 nucleotides) under uncultured bacterium. RNAcentral's name for it is "partial 16S ribosomal RNA". It matches the Rfam family "Bacterial small subunit ribosomal RNA", at positions 524 to 776 of the family's 1533-position model. The record is from RNAcentral.
UACGUAGGGGGCAAGCGUUGUCCGGAUUUAUUGGGCGUAAAGAGCGUGUAGGCGGCCAGACAGGUCCGUUGUGAAAACUAGAGGCUUAACCUCUAGACGUCGAUGGAAACCGUUUGGCUAGAGUCCGGAAGAGGAGGAUGGAAUUCCUGGUGUAGCGGUGAAAUGCGCAGAUAUCAGGAAGAACACCCGUGGCUAAGGCGGUUCUCUAGUACGGUACUGACGCUGAGACGCGAAAGCGUGGGGAGCGAACAGG